AGCAGCCGCGGUAAUUCCAGCUCCAAUAGCGUAUAUUAAAGUUGUUGCAGUUAAAAAGCUCGUAGUUGAAUUUCGGGAUCAAUUCGUCGGUCGUGCCUCGGUACGUACUAACGAUAUUGAUUUCUCCCUUCUGACGAACCGUGAUGUCAUUAAUUUGGUGUUACGGGGAGUUAGGACUGUUACUUUGAAAAAAUUAGAGUGUUUAAAGCAAGCAAUCGCUCGAAUACAUUAGCAUGGAAUAAUGAAAUAGGACGUUCGAACCUAUUUUGUUGGUUUCUAGGAUCGACGUAAUGAUUAAUAGGGAUAGUUGGGGGCAUUAGUAUUCAAUUGUCAGAGGUGAAAUUCUUGGAUUUAUUGAAGACUAACUACUGCGAAAGCAUUUGCCAAGGAUGUUUUCAUUAAUCAAGAACGAAAGUUAGGGGAUCGAAGACGAUCAGAUACCGUCGUAGUCUUAACCAUAAACUAUGCCGACUAGGGAUCGGAUGAUGUUAAUUUUUUAAUGACUCAUUCGGCGCCUUACG
RNAcentral lists this ribosomal RNA (521 nucleotides) under uncultured Glomeraceae. RNAcentral describes it as "SSU rRNA". It matches the Rfam family "Eukaryotic small subunit ribosomal RNA", at positions 569 to 1092 of the family's 1831-position model. Lineage: Eukaryota; Fungi; Glomeromycota; Glomeromycetes; Glomerales; Glomeraceae. The record is from RNAcentral.